This 253-nucleotide ribosomal RNA is filed under the name uncultured bacterium. RNAcentral's name for it is "partial 16S ribosomal RNA". It matches the Rfam family "Bacterial small subunit ribosomal RNA", at positions 524 to 776 of the family's 1533-position model. The record is from RNAcentral.
UACGGGGGGGGCAAGCGUUGUUCGGAAUUACUGGGCGUAAAGGGCUCGUAGGCGGCCAACUAAGUCGGACGUGAAAUCCCUCGGCUUAACCGGGGAACUGCGUCCGAUACUGGAUGGCUUGAGUUUGGGAGAGGGAUGCGGAAUUCCAGGUGUAGCGGUGAAAUGCGUAGAUAUCUGGAGGAACACCGGUGGCGAAGGCGGCAUCCUGGACCAGCACUGACGCUGAUGAGCGAAAGCCAGGGGAGCAAACGGG